UUUUGGACUAUACAAAGGUAUUGUAAUAAGACUUUAAUUGAGUGCUAAAAGAAUGGACUUUCAAAAAAUUACUAUCUUGAAUUUAAAAAUCGAAUUUAUUUUUAUUUGUGAAGAAACAAUAAUUUAGAUUAAGGACAAGAAGACCCUAAGAAUUUUUAAAUUUUAUAUAAGAUCUAGAUCUUAUAUAAAAUUUUUAAUUGGGGCGAUUAUAAAAUAUUAUUAACUUUAAAUUCAGGAAAAUGAUCCAUAAUUAAUGAUUAGAUGUAAAAAAUACUCUAGGGAUAACAGCGUAAUAAUUUUAGAUAGCUCAUAUAGAAAAAAUAGUUUGCGACCUCGAUGUUGGAUUAGGAUACUUUUUUAAUGAAGAAGUUAAAAAAAGAAGUUUGUUCAACUUUUAAAAUCCUACUUGAUCUGGUUCAAGACCCGGA
Molecule: ribosomal RNA, 428 nt
Filed under: Haemaphysalis concinna
Lineage: Eukaryota; Metazoa; Arthropoda; Arachnida; Ixodida; Ixodidae
Description: partial large subunit ribosomal RNA
Rfam family: Archaeal large subunit ribosomal RNA (bases 281-428)
Source: RNAcentral